RNAcentral lists this unclassified non-coding RNA (334 nucleotides) under soil metagenome. Its description in RNAcentral is "partial contains 5.8S ribosomal RNA, internal transcribed spacer 2, and large subunit ribosomal RNA". The stretch from base 1 to 120 matches the Rfam family "5.8S ribosomal RNA", at positions 35 to 154 of the family's 154-position model. The record is from RNAcentral.
GAUGAAGAACGCAGCGAAAUGCGAUACGUAAUGUGAAUUGCAGAAUUCAGUGAAUCAUCGAAUCUUUGAACGCACAUUGCGCCCGCCAGCACUCUGGCGGGCAUGCCUGUUCGAGCGUCAUUUCAACCAUCAAGCCCCAGGCUUGCGUUGGAGCCCUGCGGCUGCUGCAGCCUCCUAAAAGCAGUGGCGGGCUCGCUAUCACACCGAGUGCAGUAGAUUACUCUUCGCUCAGGGCGUGCAGCGGGUUCCGGCCGUGAAACCCCCUACUUUUAAAGGUUGACCUCGGAUCAGGUAGGAAUACCCGCUGAACUUAAGCAUAUCAAUAAGCGGAGGA